UACGUAGGGUGCAAGCGUUGUCCGGAAUUAUUGGGCGUAAAGAGCUCGUAGGCGGUCUGUUGCGUCGGCUGUGAAAACCCGGGGCUCAACUCCGGGCCUGCAGCCGAUACGGGCAGACUAGAGUUCGGCAGGGGAGACUGGAAUUCCUGGUGUAGCGGUGAAAUGCGCAGAUAUCGAGAGGAACACCUGCGGCGAAGGCGGGUAGCUGGGCCGACACUGACGCUGAGGCGCGAAAGCGAGGGGAGCAAACGGG
Molecule: ribosomal RNA, 253 nt
Filed under: uncultured bacterium
Lineage: Bacteria
Description: partial 16S ribosomal RNA
Rfam family: Bacterial small subunit ribosomal RNA
Source: RNAcentral